Molecule: long non-coding RNA, 786 nt
Filed under: Xyrichtys novacula (pearly razorfish)
Lineage: Eukaryota; Metazoa; Chordata; Actinopteri; Labriformes; Labridae
Source: RNAcentral
AGACAUUACACGAUGAUCUACUGUCUGGAAAGAUCCGCUCCAACAGAAUGUUCCUUUGGAGGAAUCCCGCCACCUCACUCCGACUAAAGCAGCAUCUUAAGAUAAGGACACUAAGUUGGAGUGAGCAGCGCGUAAGUAAAAAUGCCAUCCAUCAUGAGUAUUUUUACUCUCAGGGGUGUUACAUUUGAAAGGUGUUUACUUUCUGUGUUUUUCUUCAAUAGAUGUUCGAGCUCCUGCGGUUCAUUGAGGUGGCAACAAACAUUUCUAAAAAAAUAAAGAGAGGCGAGAUUUAUCUGCUUGAUUUCGUUUUUGACGUCAUGCUCCCAGAGGUGAGUAGAUCAAACUAUAUAGCUUGCUUUGAAAAUUGAUGAUAUUGUUAAGAGGUUGUUCUUAUUCAUUUGGAAAGCUCAAGAACAACAAUUAACCCAUACUGCAUAACUUCAAUUGUUCACAUUAUUUGACUGUUUUUCAGCUUUUGAUCAAAGCACUGAAGGAGCAUGGCAUCAACCGGUUCAGAGCAGAGCUGAUGAUGGCCUGUGGCAACGUGUUUUAAGCCCCCCACCACACCGACGGCAGUGCUGAAUUUUGUAUAUAUAUAUAUAUUUUUUUACUGUUCACAAUUUUGUUUGGAAAAAAUUAAAGAAAUCUUCAAAGCAGUUGUAUGACAAUUUCUCAUUUCUUUACACAGUCUGUAAUGAUAUCGCUAUUCAAUUGUUUUUGCUAUAUGGCUCUUCUGAACCUUAAAGAGAUCAUGUGACUUGUCUCUACAACUAUUGUAUACUUGGA